GAUGAACGCUGGCGGCGUGCUUAACACAUGCAAGUCGAACGGAAAGGCCCUGCUUUUGUGGGGUGCUCGCGUGCCGAAGGGGUGUGUAUCACGUGCGUAAUCUGCCCUUGACAUAGGGAUACAUUCAGGAAACUGGGGCUCAUACCGGAUAGGAGCUCCUGCGGCAUGGUGUGCGUAGGUAAGUUUCGGCGGUUGGGGAUGGUCUCGCGGGUUAUCAGCUUGUUGGUGGGGUAGUGGAUUACAAAGGCUUUGACGGGUAGGCGGCCUGAGAGGGUGACCGGCCACAUUAGGACUGAGAUACGGCCCAGACUCCUACGGGAGGCAGCAGUGGGGAAUAUUGCACAAUGAGCGGAAGCCUGAUACAGCGGCGCCGCGUGCGGAAUGACGGCCUUCGGGUUAUAAACCGCUUUCGCCUGAGACGAAGCGAGAGUGACGGUAAUGGGUAAAGAAGCACCGGCUAACUACGUG
This 468-nucleotide ribosomal RNA is filed under the name uncultured bacterium. Its description in RNAcentral is "partial 16S ribosomal RNA". It matches the Rfam family "Bacterial small subunit ribosomal RNA", at positions 28 to 507 of the family's 1533-position model. The record is from RNAcentral.